RNAcentral lists this ribosomal RNA (225 nucleotides) under Triticum aestivum (bread wheat). Its description in RNAcentral is "partial small subunit ribosomal RNA". The record is from RNAcentral. Lineage: Eukaryota; Viridiplantae; Streptophyta; Magnoliopsida; Poales; Poaceae.
AUGAGUAUCUUGUGCUGGAACUGUCGAGGCCUUGGGUCGGACUCGACAGUUGGCGAGCUUCGCUGGUUAGUGAAGCUUUACCGGCCCACCCUCCUCUUUGUGUCAGAAACGAAGAUGAGGGAAUCACGUGUACGGAAUUUAAUGUGGUCUUUGGGUUUUAAGGGUUGUUUUGAUGUGGGUAGUGAUGGUCUGAGUGGUGGCCUGGCCUUGUUCUGGUUAGAGUCU